RNAcentral lists this ribosomal RNA (389 nucleotides) under uncultured bacterium. RNAcentral's name for it is "bacterial SSU rRNA". It matches the Rfam family "Bacterial small subunit ribosomal RNA", at positions 52 to 434 of the family's 1533-position model. The record is from RNAcentral.
AACGGAGAUUAUACGCAGAGGCGAUUUCGGCCUUUUCAUGUGUAAUCUUAGUGGCGGACGGGUGAGUAACGCGUGGGUAACCUGCCUUACACUGGGGGAUAACACUUACAAAUAGGUGCUAAUACCGCAUAAGCGCACGAAGCCGCAUGGAUUUGUGUGAAAAACUCCGGUGGUGUAAGAUGGACCCGCGUCUGAUUAGCUUGUUGGCGGGGUAACGGCCCACCAAGGCGACGAUCCGUAGCCGGCCUGAGAGGGUGGACGGCCACAUUGGGACUGAGACACGGCCCAAACUCCUACGGGAGGCAGCAGUGGGGGAUAUUGGACAAUGGGGGGAACCCUGAUCCAGCGACGCCGCGUGAGUGAAGAAGUAUUUCGGUAUGUCACGCUCU